RNAcentral lists this ribosomal RNA (497 nucleotides) under uncultured bacterium. Its description in RNAcentral is "partial 16S ribosomal RNA". It matches the Rfam family "Bacterial small subunit ribosomal RNA", at positions 28 to 507 of the family's 1533-position model. The record is from RNAcentral.
GAUGAACGCUGGCGGCGUGCCUAAUACAUGCAAGUCGAGCGAACAGACGAGGAGCUUGCUCCUCUGACGUUAGCGGCGGACGGGUGAGUAACACGUGGAUAACCUACCUAUAAGACUGGGAUAACUUCGGGAAACCGGAGCUAAUACCGGAUAACAUGUUGAACCGCAUGGUUCAACAGUGAAAGACGGUCUUGCUGUCACUUAUAGAUGGAUCCGCGCCGCAUUAGCUAGUUGGUAAGGUAACGGCUUACCAAGGCAACAAUGCGUAGCCGACCUGAGAGGGUGAUCGGCCACACUGGAACUGAGACACGGUCCAGACUCCUACGGGAGGCAGCAGUAGGGAAUCUUCCGCAAUGGGCGAAAGCCUGACGGAGCAACGCCGCGUGAGUGAAGAAGGUCUUCGGAUCGUAAAACUCUGUUAUUAGGGAAGAACAAAUGUGUAAGUAACUAUGCACGUCUUGACGGUACCUAAUCAGAAAGCCACGGCUAACUACGUG